UGAGUUCAUCCACUAUGUUCAUCAUCAAUCAGAAGCUCUUUCAUCCACAUACACUUGUAUCGUCGUUGCGGGCACUACAACAGAACAUGUCGUCUGACCAUCAUGUUGUCAGGAAGACUUUCGAUACAAGGAGUCGGUCCAUUAAUUGAAUCGUCGACUCUAAUACCACUUGUUAGGAACAUAACAAAAAAUAAAUAAAUUUAUACGCACGCGGAAGUAUACCCACAAAAAAGAAAAAAACUCAAAAACAA
RNAcentral lists this long non-coding RNA (251 nucleotides) under Lathyrus oleraceus (garden pea). Its description in RNAcentral is "Pisum sativum (pea) long non-coding RNA (PSAT_LNC007310)". Lineage: Eukaryota; Viridiplantae; Streptophyta; Magnoliopsida; Fabales; Fabaceae. The record is from RNAcentral.